Molecule: long non-coding RNA, 408 nt
Filed under: Chrysolophus pictus (golden pheasant)
Lineage: Eukaryota; Metazoa; Chordata; Aves; Galliformes; Phasianidae
Description: lncRNA (ENSCPIG00010001721.1)
Source: RNAcentral
AACAAACUGGAGUUCCUUCUCCCUCCCAUUUCUUAAAUUUGGGCUAUUAUUGUUUUCUUUUCAACCAAGCUCUUGUGCUAUUCUUUUGACCAAGGUAAUUAUUUCUUUUUUCAUUUGUCUGCAAAAACAUUGUCAAAGUCUUCAUUAUUUCAGCAAAGCUGUUUGGAAACGAUUUCAGUGUGCCAAAAAACAACAACAACAACAAAAAAAACCAAAACAAACAAACAAAAAACCCCAACAAAUACACAACAAAGAAAACCACAGUAGCCAUCUUUUCAAAGAGAAUGAUUUUUACCAGGAUUGGUGUGGUUAUACAGAUGAGCAGUGUGGCUUGUUCCAGCUGAAGGAUGACCAAGGAGCACACCACAAGUUCAACUGGAAUAACCCACCUGAAGAACACUAUCAUGC